RNAcentral lists this ribosomal RNA (494 nucleotides) under uncultured bacterium. RNAcentral describes it as "partial 16S ribosomal RNA". It matches the Rfam family "Bacterial small subunit ribosomal RNA", at positions 28 to 507 of the family's 1533-position model. The record is from RNAcentral.
GACGAACGCUGGCGGCGUGCUUAACACAUGCAAGUCGAACGGUGAAGCGCCUUCCUUUUUGGUGGGUGUGGUUGAUUGGCGAACGGGUGAUUAACACGUGAGUAACCUGCCCCCUUCUUCUGGAUAACCUCAUGAAAGUGUGGCUAAUCCGGGUUAUUCUGGGUCUGUCCCAUGAUUGUUCUGGGAAAGAUAUUUUUUCGGUGGGGGUUGGGCUCGCGGCCUAUCAGCUUGUUGGUGGGGUGAGGGCCUACCAAGGCGGUGACGGGUAGCCGGCCUGAGAGGGUAGAGGGUCAGACUGGGAAGGAGACACGGUCCAGACUAGUAAGGGAGGGAGGGGGGGGGAAUAGUGGACAAUGGGCGGAAGGCUAACGCAGCGAAGCGGCGGGAGGGGAGGGAGGGUGCGGGUUGGGAACAUCUUUCGCCAGGGAAGCGGGCAAGCCUCGUUUGUGGGUGGGUUGACGGUAGCGGGAUAAGAAGCGCCGGCUAACUACGUG